This 72-nucleotide transfer RNA is filed under the name Hofstenia miamia. RNAcentral's name for it is "tRNA-Cys for anticodon GCA". It matches the Rfam family "tRNA". Rfam says of the family: Transfer RNA (tRNA) molecules are approximately 80 nucleotides in length. Lineage: Eukaryota; Metazoa; Xenacoelomorpha; Acoela; Hofsteniidae. The record is from RNAcentral.
GGGUCCAUAGUUCAGUGGUAGAGCAUUUGACUGCAGAUCAAUAGGUCGCUGGUUCGAAUCCGGCUGGGCCUU